This 68-nucleotide transfer RNA is filed under the name Dermochelys coriacea (leatherback sea turtle). Its description in RNAcentral is "tRNA-Phe". It matches the Rfam family "tRNA". Rfam says of the family: Transfer RNA (tRNA) molecules are approximately 80 nucleotides in length. The record is from RNAcentral. Lineage: Eukaryota; Metazoa; Chordata; Testudines; Dermochelyidae.
UUGUAGCUUAUUAAUUAAAGCAUAGCACUGAAGUUGCUAAGAUGGGUAAUAAAUAUAUCCCAAAAACA